GGGCUUUAGCUCAGCUGGGAGAGCGCCUGCAUGGCAUGCAGGAGGUCAGCGGUUCGAUCCCGCUAAGCUC
This 70-nucleotide transfer RNA is filed under the name Pseudomonas viridiflava ICMP 13104. RNAcentral's name for it is "tRNA-Ala". It matches the Rfam family "tRNA". Rfam says of the family: Transfer RNA (tRNA) molecules are approximately 80 nucleotides in length. Their secondary structure includes four short double-helical elements and three loops (D, anti-codon, and T loops). The record is from RNAcentral. Lineage: Bacteria; Pseudomonadati; Pseudomonadota; Gammaproteobacteria; Pseudomonadales; Pseudomonadaceae.